GAUGAACGCUGGCGGCGUGCCUAAUACGUGCAAGUCGAGCGAACGGACGAGAAGCUUGCUUCUCUGAUGUUAGCGGCGGACGGGUGAGUAACACGUGGAUAACCUACCUAUAAGACUGGGAUAACUUCGGGAAACCGGAGCUAAUACCGGAUAAUAUUUUGAACCGCAUGGUUCAAAAGUGAAAGACGGUCUUGCUGUCACUUAUAGAUGGAUCCGCGCUGCAUUAGCUAGUUGGUAAGGUAACGGCUUACCAAGGCAACGAUGCAUAGCCGACCUGAGAGGGUGAUCGGCCACACUGGAACGGAGACACGGUCCAGACUCCUACGGGAGGCAGCAGUAGGGAAUCUUCCGCAAUGGGCGAAAGCCUGACGGAGCAACGCCGCGUGAGUGAUGAAGGUCUUCGGAUCGUAAAACUCUGUUAUUAGGGAAGAACAUAUGCGUAAGUAACUGUGCACAUCUUGACGGUACCUAAUCAGAAAGCCACGGCUAACUACGUG
This 497-nucleotide ribosomal RNA is filed under the name uncultured bacterium. RNAcentral describes it as "partial 16S ribosomal RNA". It matches the Rfam family "Bacterial small subunit ribosomal RNA", at positions 28 to 507 of the family's 1533-position model. The record is from RNAcentral.